CGCUCACCGGUGUAACACCACCACAGAACCACCGUGCCUCCGUCGUCCGCCGCCGACCGGAAAUGGCCUCUGCCGGUGGCAAGUCUCCAAUGAACCCCAAAUUAACACCAUGUGCUCCCCUUCUCCUCCUCUUUCCAACCCCCUAAACCACGAGCCUCUAAUAUCAACCGAUCACCUACAAUAUUAGUUUAAAGAUCUGACUGGUCUGCCGUCUACGGCGUCAAUGGCUCAGACGGCCACCAAAAACACACCCUAGCAUCUCCUUUGCCUCCUCUACAUGAAUCUGAAUCCCACUCCCCUCGAAUCAUAAUACAAUUUCUCCAAUUUUGAUUCAAAAAAUCCGGCCAAAGCACAACCUCUUCCAAACUCCGCCAAAUCAACACCAUAUAGUCCUCUUGCCCUCCUCAUCCCAAAUCUGCAACCUAUGGCUCUCAAAUCGCCCCCAUUUGGUUCGAAUAUCAAAUCAAAAUCGUCCAGAACCCUUCAAGCAUGUAUCUGGAUUCCUGGCCUCGAAAACUUAAGCUAAGUUAUCUUCUAGUUUCUCUAUUAAUUUUAUUAUUUUCUUCUAGUUUCUCUGUUAAUCUAAGUUAUCCUCUAGUUUCUUUAUUAAUUUUAGUCUUCUUCUAGUUUCUCUGUUAAUCUAAGUUGUCCUAUAGUUUCUCUGUUAAUUUUAGUUGUGUAAUAGAUUUAAUUUUUAUUUUAGUUGGUUCUGUUUCCCUGCUUUGAUAUAUGCUUCAUUUACCUUAGUCUAGUCUUUCAAUCUCAAUUGUUAUUGAUAAGCUAUUUGGAAGGUAGUUUUUGUUUUAGUAUGUUUUAUUCACGAUUGUUUCCUUCGUUUCUAUUUUGACCUUAAUACAUUCAUUAGUUUUGGUUUAAGUCGGGAUGAAGUUCAGUGUUUGUUCAUGGUCUUUAUUUGAUGAAUAAUAAUUGCCUGCCAGUCCUCUUGUGGUUGUUAAUAUAAUGUCAAG
Molecule: long non-coding RNA, 968 nt
Filed under: Nicotiana benthamiana
Lineage: Eukaryota; Viridiplantae; Streptophyta; Magnoliopsida; Solanales; Solanaceae
Description: long non-coding RNA (NBEN_LNC008805)
Source: RNAcentral